CAGUCGCCGCGGGAACACGAAGGGGGCUAGCGUUGUUCGGAAUUACUGGGCGUAAAGCGCACGUAGGCGGAUAUUUAAGUCAGGGGUGAAAUCCCGCAGCUCAACUGCGGAACUGCCUUUGAUACCGGGUAUCUUGAGUAUGGAAGAGGUUAGUGGAAUUGCGAGUGUAGAGGUGAAAUUCGUAGAUAUUCGCAGGAACACCAGUGGCGAAGGCGGCUAACUGGUCCAUAACUGACGCUGAGGUGCGAAAGCGUGGGGAGCAAACAGGAUUAGAUACCCCCGUAGUCCCUGUCUCUUAUAC
This 301-nucleotide ribosomal RNA is filed under the name uncultured bacterium. Its description in RNAcentral is "partial 16S ribosomal RNA". It matches the Rfam family "Bacterial small subunit ribosomal RNA", at positions 509 to 807 of the family's 1533-position model. The record is from RNAcentral.